AAAUUUCAACAAUGCAAAAACCGCAAUUACUUUUGCACCAAGGUGGUUUUCCCAAGGCAAGGCUGAUCCAUUGCACUGAGGAUCUGCUGACCCCUGCAAUUUCCCUAAGGGGGAAACUCGACUGCGUAAUUUGUAUUGGUGGUGGAUUUUGUCUGUGCUUUCCCUCA
This 167-nucleotide small nuclear RNA is filed under the name Dasypus novemcinctus (nine-banded armadillo). Its description in RNAcentral is "U1 spliceosomal RNA (ENSDNOG00000032283.1)". It matches the Rfam family "U1 spliceosomal RNA". Rfam says of the family: U1 is a small nuclear RNA (snRNA) component of the spliceosome (involved in pre-mRNA splicing). Its 5' end forms complementary base pairs with the 5' splice junction, thus defining the 5' donor site of an intron. The record is from RNAcentral. Lineage: Eukaryota; Metazoa; Chordata; Mammalia; Cingulata; Dasypodidae.